GUAGUAGUUUACCUUGUGAAAGGUCGUACUGUUUCACUGAGUAAGCAAGUGUGCUCGAUGCAAGAUGAAAAUACAAUUUCAACGUCUGCUUUAUACGAUUUUUAUUUUAAUUUUUUUGAACGUUGCUACUGCAGAACGACCACCAAAUAGGAAAACAGGACAAAUUGCAACUGUUCCAGUGAACUGUGAAAAGGAUGAGGUGUACAUAAGAGGAAAAUGUCGUCCCAAAGUUUAAUAAAGCCAAGAUUAUUGGGAUUGGAUCAUCAACUGUGUGUCUAAAUCAAUGGAAUCGUAUACUAAAACUAUACUAUCAUAUCUUAAUAAAGUGAUUUAAAAAACUA
Long non-coding RNA from Anoplophora glabripennis (Asian longhorned beetle), 341 nucleotides. RefSeq lists it as uncharacterized. The transcript has 2 exons. Lineage: Eukaryota; Metazoa; Arthropoda; Insecta; Coleoptera; Cerambycidae. The record is from RefSeq and is a predicted model, not a curated record.